Molecule: non-coding RNA, 458 nt
Organism: Sus scrofa (pig)
Lineage: Eukaryota; Metazoa; Chordata; Mammalia; Artiodactyla; Suidae
Source: RefSeq, a predicted model, not a curated record
CCUUUGUCUUUUUUUCAACAGGGCCUGGGGCCAAGAUGUGCAGAGAAGCUGGAGGUUCACGUACGUCACUCAGCGUGUCUCCUCAUUUCUCUUCUCCACCCGGGUGCUGCAGUCUCUCACCUGGGGUCCCGGGCUCCUGUGGAGAACAGACACACACAAAAGCCCUGUGCUGCCAGAAGACAGAGCGUCCCAUCAAGAAAAUGCAGGGGGAAUGAAGAAAGGACAGGGAAACCCUCAGGAUGGUGUGUGUGUUCAGACCCCACAGCACCGAACUGCAGUGAGUCACAAAAACCCGGCACAAUGAAAUGAGGCCGCUGAGCUCACCUGAACAGAGCAGAACUGUCAUCCUUGGAAUGGCCAGGUCCGUCCUCACCUCUGUCUCCAGGGAGCACCCCAGGGACCGACGGGGACCUUCCAUCUCCAGCUCCCUCGGCCUCAGAUCUGCGCCUUCACCGAGG